AAGAGCGAUUGAAGCUUCUAUUGCACAAGAGAGAAAAUGAAUGAGCAACGACGUGUAAAUGAAAAUGUGGCUCUGCGUGGAAAGAAUGACAAAUGAAGAUGUGGUCUGACGCGCACGUGCAGGAGGCAGAUGUGGUAGAUGAAGUGUUGUCACGCAAAAGAAGGGAAAUUAAUGAAGGAAAGCAUUAGUGUGGAGGAGAGAGAAAAUGGAAGCAACAAUGGAAAAAUGGAGAAUAAAAGACGGAGGUGUGUGUUUGCAAGGUGGCUAGAGGAGGAUUCCUUGGAU
This 285-nucleotide long non-coding RNA is filed under the name Vigna radiata. RNAcentral describes it as "long non-coding RNA (VRAD_LNC013203)". Lineage: Eukaryota; Viridiplantae; Streptophyta; Magnoliopsida; Fabales; Fabaceae. The record is from RNAcentral.